This 137-nucleotide small RNA is filed under the name Actinoplanes derwentensis. RNAcentral describes it as "c-di-AMP sequence". It matches the Rfam family "c-di-AMP riboswitch aptamer (ydaO/yuaA leader)". From Rfam's summary of the family: This family represents a conserved RNA structure found upstream of the ydaO and yuaA genes in Bacillus subtilis and related genes in other bacteria. The record is from Rfam by way of RNAcentral. Lineage: Bacteria; Bacillati; Actinomycetota; Actinomycetes; Micromonosporales; Micromonosporaceae.
CGGGAGCCGCCGCCUAAUCGUCAUCAAUGACGAGCCGGGGAUCCAUUUUCCCUCGGGGUGAAUCCGCACCCAGCGGUAGGGAUUUCCUUCGUCCCGAACCCGUCAGCUAACUCGGUCGGCGGCCGACGGAAGGAAAU